This 848-nucleotide ribosomal RNA is filed under the name Pseudomonas sp. DP_00038. RNAcentral's name for it is "bacterial SSU rRNA". It matches the Rfam family "Bacterial small subunit ribosomal RNA", at positions 21 to 864 of the family's 1533-position model. Lineage: Bacteria; Pseudomonadati; Pseudomonadota; Gammaproteobacteria; Pseudomonadales; Pseudomonadaceae. The record is from RNAcentral.
GGCUCAGAUUGAACGCUGGCGGCAGGCCUAACACAUGCAAGUCGAGCGGAUGACAGGAGCUUGCUCCUGAAUUCAGCGGCGGACGGGUGAGUAAUGCCUAGGAAUCUGCCUGGUAGUGGGGGACAACGUUUCGAAAGGAACGCUAAUACCGCAUACGUCCUACGGGAGAAAGCAGGGGACCUUCGGGCCUUGCGCUAUCAGAUGAGCCUAGGUCGGAUUAGCUAGUUGGUGAGGUAAUGGCUCACCAAGGCGACGAUCCGUAACUGGUCUGAGAGGAUGAUCAGUCACACUGGAACUGAGACACGGUCCAGACUCCUACGGGAGGCAGCAGUGGGGAAUAUUGGACAAUGGGCGAAAGCCUGAUCCAGCCAUGCCGCGUGUGUGAAGAAGGUCUUCGGAUUGUAAAGCACUUUAAGUUGGGAGGAAGGGUUGUAGAUUAAUACUCUGCAAUUUUGACGUUACCGACAGAAUAAGCACCGGCUAACUCUGUGCCAGCAGCCGCGGUAAUACAGAGGGUGCAAGCGUUAAUCGGAAUUACUGGGCGUAAAGCGCGCGUAGGUGGUUCGUUAAGUUGGAUGUGAAAGCCCCGGGCUCAACCUGGGAACUGCAUUCAAAACUGACGAGCUAGAGUAUGGUAGAGGGUGGUGGAAUUUCCUGUGUAGCGGUGAAAUGCGUAGAUAUAGGAAGGAACACCAGUGGCGAAGGCGACCACCUGGACUGAUACUGACACUGAGGUGCGAAAGCGUGGGGAGCAAACAGGAUUAGAUACCCUGGUAGUCCACGCCGUAAACGAUGUCAACUAGCCGUUGGGAGCCUUGAGCUCUUAGUGGCGCAGCUAACGCAUUAAG